RNAcentral lists this unclassified non-coding RNA (353 nucleotides) under soil metagenome. Its description in RNAcentral is "partial contains 5.8S ribosomal RNA, internal transcribed spacer 2, and large subunit ribosomal RNA". The stretch from base 1 to 121 matches the Rfam family "5.8S ribosomal RNA", at positions 35 to 154 of the family's 154-position model. The record is from RNAcentral.
GAUGAAGGAACGUAGUGAAAUGCGAUAAGUAAUGUGAAUUGCAGAAUUCAGUGAAUCAUCGAAUCUUUGAACGCACAUUGCGCCCGCCAGUAUUCUGGCGGGCAUGCCUGUUCGAGCGUCAUUACAACCCUCAGGCCCCCGGGCCUGGCGUUGGGGAUCGGCGGAGCCCCCCGUGGGCACACGCCGUCCCCCAAAUGCAGUGGCGGUCCCGCCGCAGCUUCCAUCGCGUAGUAGCUAACACCUCGCGACUGGAGAGCGGCGCGGCCACGCCGUAAAACACCCAACUCUUCUGAAGUUGACCUCGAAUCAGGUAGGAAUACCCGCUGAACUUAAGCAUAUCAAUAAGCGGAGGA